GAUCCGAUAUAGAUGAUGAUACGAUAUAGUUGAUGAUCCGAUAUAGUUGAUGAUCCGAUAUAGCUGUUAAUCCGAUACGGUUUCUAGCUACAGGUGGUUUAUGAUCCGAUAUAGUUAAUGAUCAAAUAAAGUUAAUGAUCCGAUAUAGAUGAUGAUCCUAUAUAGUUAAUGAUCCGAUAUAGAUGAUACGAUAUAGUUGAUGAUCCGAUAUAGUUGAUGAUCCGAUAUAGUUGAUGAUCCGAUAUCGUUGAUGAGCCGAUCUAGUUGAUGAUCCGAUAUAGUUAAUGAUCCGAUAUAGUUAAUGAUCUGAUAUAGUUGAUCCGAUAUAAUCAAUGAUCCGAUAUAAGUAAUGAUCCGAUACGUUAUCUUGGUGUCCAUCAAAAGUAAGUGUCUUUUGGUGUGCUCGUAUGAAGUGAUAUUUAGGGCUUACAGGUGUGGGAUACAGGUAAAAUCAACAGGUGUGGGGCUACAGGUAAGAUCAACAGGUGUGGGCUACAUAUAAGAUCAACAGGUGUGGGUAACAGGUAAGAUCAACAGGUGUGGGGCUACAGGCAAGAUCAACAGUGUGGGCUACAUAUAAGAUCAACAGGUGUGGGUAACAGGUAAGAUCAACAGGUGUGGGGCUACAGGUAAGAUCAACAGGUGUGGGUAACAGGUAGGAUCAACAGAUGUAGGAUACAUUUAAGAUUAACAGGUAUGGGCUACAGGUAAGAUCAACAGGUGUAGGCUACAGGUAAAAUCAACAAGCGUGGGGCUACAGGUAAGAUCAACAAGCGUGGGGCUACAGGUAGGAUCAACAGGCGUGGGUAAAGGUAAGAUCAACAGGUGUGGGCUACAAGUGAGAUCAACACGUGUGGUCUACAGGUAAGAUACAGAUGUGGGCUACAGUAAAAAUCUACAGGUGUGGGCUACCGAUAAGAUACAGGUGUGGACUAUCGAUGAAAUCUACAGGCGUGGGCUACCGAUAAGAUACAGCUGUGGGCUGUAUCCAAAAUCUAUACAUGUGGGCUACAGUUAAGAUCUACAGGUGUGGGCUAUCGAUAAAAUCUACAGGCGUGAGUUACCGAUAAGAUGCAGGUGUGGGCUGUAUCCAAAAUCUACAGAUGUGGACUACAGGUGUGUAAUACAAGAUCAGAAUACAGGUAGAGACUACAACGUAUCUUAAAUUCUUCCCAUGAUCUUUUUUUAUUGUAAUUUUUAUUUUGUUGUAUUUUGUCUCUAUACUGUAUGUUUGUAUAUAAUGAUUCAUAAACAUUGUAUCAUUAUUCAUGUUUGUAUAUAAUGAUUCAUAAGCAUUGUAUCAUUAUUCACUCAUGUAACUUUUUUUUUCCGAAAUAAAGUUCCCAUGACAUGAA
Molecule: long non-coding RNA, 1355 nt
Organism: Homarus americanus (American lobster)
Lineage: Eukaryota; Metazoa; Arthropoda; Malacostraca; Decapoda; Nephropidae
Exons: 2
Source: RefSeq, a predicted model, not a curated record